RNAcentral lists this ribosomal RNA (49 nucleotides) under Transversotrema elegans. Its description in RNAcentral is "partial 28S ribosomal RNA". The record is from RNAcentral. Lineage: Eukaryota; Metazoa; Platyhelminthes; Trematoda; Azygiida; Transversotrematidae.
CUGACCUCGGAUCAGACGUGAAUACCCGCUGAACUUAACAUAUCACUAA